AGGUAGGCAGUGGUUGCCGACCUCCCGCAUUAUUCGAAAUAUUUAUUUCGUAUAAUGUUUAUAUUGGUUACAUACAAUAAAGUAUAUUAUUAUCCGUACAAAUUUGUUUCUCAGUUCUAUAGAACACGGGACUUGGCUCCGCGGAUAAUAGGAAUAUACGCUUUAUAGAUAAUAUCGUUGAA
Molecule: ribosomal RNA, 182 nt
Filed under: Drosophila mauritiana
Lineage: Eukaryota; Metazoa; Arthropoda; Insecta; Diptera; Drosophilidae
Description: partial 18S ribosomal RNA
Source: RNAcentral